RNAcentral lists this small RNA (128 nucleotides) under Pectobacterium actinidiae. RNAcentral describes it as "RtT sRNA". It matches the Rfam family "RtT RNA". From Rfam's summary of the family: This family represents a bacterial cis-regulatory element known as RtT RNA. The exact function of RtT is unknown although it is thought that it may be involved in changing the cellular response in relation to amino acid starvation. Lineage: Bacteria; Pseudomonadati; Pseudomonadota; Gammaproteobacteria; Enterobacterales; Pectobacteriaceae. The record is from RNAcentral.
CUAUUGCGCGUGUCGUGCAGAUGAGAACCUGCGCUCAGGUUCGAGCCGAGCGAAGCGAGACAGCAACGCGUCAGCGUUGACCCCGAAGGGGCGAGGCCAAAGGCCGAGUCAUCCUGCAAGACCCACCA